Molecule: ribosomal RNA, 38 nt
Filed under: Araucaria araucana (monkey-puzzle tree)
Lineage: Eukaryota; Viridiplantae; Streptophyta; Pinopsida; Araucariales; Araucariaceae
Description: partial 26S ribosomal RNA
Source: RNAcentral
GCGCCCCCAGGUCAGGCGAGAACACCCGCUGAGUUUAA